RNAcentral lists this ribosomal RNA (251 nucleotides) under uncultured prokaryote. RNAcentral describes it as "partial 16S rRNA". It matches the Rfam family "Bacterial small subunit ribosomal RNA", at positions 525 to 775 of the family's 1533-position model. The record is from RNAcentral.
ACGUAGGGUGCAAGCGUUAAUCGGAAUUACUGGGCGUAAAGCGUGCGCAGGCGGCCUAUUAAGUCAGAUGUGAAAUCCCCGAGCUCAACUUGGGAACUGCAUUUGAAACUGAUAGGCUAGAGUGUGUCAGAGGGAGGUAGAAUUCCACGUGUAGCAGUGAAAUGCGUAGAGAUGUGGAGGAAUACCAGUGGCGAAGGCGGCCUCCUGGGAUAACACUGACGCUCAUGUACGAAAGCGUGGGGAGCAAACAG